RNAcentral lists this transfer RNA (82 nucleotides) under Dreissena polymorpha. It matches the Rfam family "tRNA". From Rfam's summary of the family: Transfer RNA (tRNA) molecules are approximately 80 nucleotides in length. Their secondary structure includes four short double-helical elements and three loops (D, anti-codon, and T loops). Lineage: Eukaryota; Metazoa; Mollusca; Bivalvia; Myida; Dreissenidae. The record is from Rfam by way of RNAcentral.
GUUGUCGUGGCCGAGUGGUUAAGGCGAUGGACUAGACAUUUUUUGGGAUCUUCCCGCGCAGGUUCGAAUCCUGCCGACAUCG